This is a long non-coding RNA of Cyprinus carpio (common carp), 673 nucleotides long. RefSeq lists it as uncharacterized. Lineage: Eukaryota; Metazoa; Chordata; Actinopteri; Cypriniformes; Cyprinidae. The transcript has 3 exons. The record is from RefSeq and is a predicted model, not a curated record.
AAUCAAUUUUCUAAAAAAAAACAUCAGAUGUCAUUUUCAAAUGAAUAGCUCACCCCAGAAUGAAAGCCCAUAAUUUUUGAUUCUCCCUCAGGUCAUUUCAAUUUUGCAGGUGAAAUCUAGUAAUUUCAGUAGGAAUUGAUCAGGAGUUUCAUAUAAUGUGAAAAUGUUCCCCACACAUGUUUUGCUUGUGUUAAUGUUGGCCACGUGAAUUUGCUGCACUGACCAACAGAAAGCUGCUUCGCUUGAAGGUGACUUUGAUAUGAGCUGUGUUUUAUGUUGCUACUCUAUUGAAAAUAGACCAAUAGUGACUGCACCUUUACAGUAGCUCUGUUGGUGGAACAGACACAGAUUUUGUUAAUUCACCGAUAACCUUCCCCGUCAACCCAUCCCACCCCCCACCCCCCAGUAAAACCUGGCACAUCAAGAUGUGUUCCGCAAUGUUUGAGGUCAAUAACAUCAAGCAGCACUUGUUCUUGCUUGUCUCAUAACCAAAUAUUGAUGCACCAAAUUUGAAUUUGCAGAAAUGCAAAUGAGAUUCGAGAGCUUUCGCUGGUUUCUAUAUGCUUUCAUUGAAUGGAAAAUAACACCUUGAACCUAAUUUGCAUAAUUAGCAAUCUCACCUUUUUUGUUAAACAAAAAAAUUCAAAUGGCUUUGGUAUAGUAUGAGGGUGAA